UGGUUGUGAGCCAUCAUGUGAGUGCUGGU
RNAcentral lists this non-coding RNA (29 nucleotides) under Mus musculus (house mouse). Lineage: Eukaryota; Metazoa; Chordata; Mammalia; Rodentia; Muridae. The record is from RNAcentral.